UACAGAGGUCUCAAGCGUUGUUCGGAUUCAUUGGGCGUAAAGGGUGCGUAGGUGGUGCUGUAAGUCAGGUGUGAAAUCUCGGGGCUCAACCCCGAAACUGCACUUGAUACUGCGGUGCUCGAGGACUGGAGAGGAGAUCGGAAUUCAUGGUGUAGCAGUGAAAUGCGUAGAUAUCAUGAGGAAGACCAGUGGCGAAGGCGGAUCUCUGGACAGUUCCUGACACUGAGGCACGAAGGUCAGGGGAGCAAACGGG
This 253-nucleotide ribosomal RNA is filed under the name uncultured bacterium. RNAcentral's name for it is "partial 16S ribosomal RNA". It matches the Rfam family "Bacterial small subunit ribosomal RNA", at positions 524 to 776 of the family's 1533-position model. The record is from RNAcentral.